Molecule: ribosomal RNA, 558 nt
Filed under: Spirontocaris ochotensis
Lineage: Eukaryota; Metazoa; Arthropoda; Malacostraca; Decapoda; Hippolytidae
Description: partial 12S ribosomal RNA
Source: RNAcentral
UGAUUAAAUAAGAGGAGGGUGGUAGGUGUGGGGUAAGGUGAAUUAUUAAUUGGUUAUGUGAUUUACUCCAAAAAUAAAAAAGUGAAAUUUAAUAUUUAUAUAGAGCAGGUUGCUUAAUUUAUCAUUGAAGCCUGUAAGGAGUUGAAUUAAAAUAGGAUUAGAUACCCUGCUAUACUACUUUGAAAUUAAUUAGCACCGGGGUAGUAACAGUUAUUUUCUUUAAACCCAAAGAACUUGGCGGUAUCACAUUCUUAUUAGAGGAACCUGCUUCAGAAACGAUAACCCCCGAAAUACCUUACUUUUUUUAGUAUUUCAGUUUGUAUACCGCCAUUAUUAGAUUGUUUCGAGAGAAAACUAUUGUAAUUGUUUUAUUAAUAUGUAUAUUAGGUCAAGGUGCAGCUUAUAAAAAAGUGUAAGUGGGUUACAAUUAAUUAAGUUAUUGGCUAAAAGAGUGAAACCCUUUUAAAAAUUGGAUUUAAUUGUAAUAUCAUUUUAUUAAGGUGAUUUGAUAUUAGCUCUGUGAUAUGUACACAUCGCCCGUCNCUCUCNUCUUAAANU